GAGUAGGCCAAGCCUGGAAGCCAUCCCGCCCUUCCGACCCAAAGCAAAACAGCAGCGUCUGAAGGGCCCGCAGGAGGACUUUGACCACUGAGCCAACCAUCCCUCUUUGGAACAGAUCUUUGGCUCUGCGGAAUUUAGUGGUAUUUGUGACAAAAUAGGAGGAAGAGAGAUAGGGAUUAAGGCCAAGGCAGCUCUUUGGAGUUUCUGUAAAGCUACUAAUGACCAAUUCAGUGGUGGAACACACCACACAAAUUAUGGGAACAAGGGGUAGACUUACAGCAGGGCUAUAUUAGGGGUAUGUUAUGAAGAACCUCUCUCUGUGCAAUCAACGUUUAAGUACAUAAUGUGAGAGAGAUGGAUAUCGAUCCUUGUAACACAAUCUGUUCCUCUCCCUCUAAAUUAUACACGUUGAGGAAGUUUUAUCUAAUUUUCCACGUUGGGGAUCAGGGCUCCCAGGUUCAGAGACAACUCUGGCUUUGACAUCAGCUGGAGCGGCCGCUCUUCAGUAGGCCUGCUGGUUCUGCAACACAGGCGAGGCAAGGCAAUUCUGAAAGCUUUUUAACACACAUGUGGACCCAAACCAAAGAACAGAUCCUUAGGUGAAAGGUGCUAUAUAAUUGUCAAGUAUUAAGCAUAUCAGAUGUCAGUCACAACAGGAACAGAGUGUCUACAUUCCCAGGAAAGGAAGAAAAUUUCCAUGAGAGAAAUACAAAUAAUAGGUGAUGGGCAGAUAUUUUCCUUAAAAAAAAAAUUAAUCUAAAAACUCUUGUGGUACCCAGUCAGAUGGAGGUUGAGCUUGUCUGUUACCACAGGAGAAUUUCCAUAUAGGACAUAGACGUAUACAGUAUGGUAUUCCUGGUUAAGCAGGCAUUGCUCUGGCCUGGCGCAGCUAUUUUAAGCCAUCUCAGAUUCUGCCUGAAGGGUUUUUAUUUUUAUUUUUGGUGGAAGACAUUUCCUUUACCAAUCUGAGAAGAUCUGCCCUAGGGAGAAUCUGAGAUAUCUUGCCUGCUUUCCUUCUCCUAGCUCCCUCUUCAUCUUAUUUCUUAGAUAUUUUUCCUCUUGGGGAGUUGUUAUGCCACAAUUGCUGGUAUUUAUGUAAAAGGAUUAUUACUAAGUACAUUUCUUUAGGUUCAUUCUGGUUAAGGGGAUGUUGAGGGUGGGCCACCAAAUUGUCUGGGCUGGGGAUAAAGCAGUUGGCAAGCAAAAACUAUGGGAUGAUGAACUUUUCAAUUAUGAUUUAAUGAUCACAUGAGUAUAGAAAGCUGUUUUGAGUGCUGAAACAGACUUACCUAUCAGAUAUAUCCAAAAGAGAUUCUAUGUUAAAAAGUCAGACUAUGACUGGAGUGAACCAUGUAUUCCCUUGUCUUUUACUUUGUUUCUGUGACAUUUAUGUUUCAUGUAACUUGCAUUAUGUUGGUGGGUUGUCCUAGUACUGUAUUUGGCUUCUUCUUUAAUAGAUUGAUAUUUCAUAUACUAUAAUUGUAAAUAUUUUGAUACAAAUGUUUAUAACUCUAGGCAUAUAAAAACAGAUUCUGAUUC
Molecule: long non-coding RNA, 1539 nt
Filed under: Sus scrofa (pig)
Lineage: Eukaryota; Metazoa; Chordata; Mammalia; Artiodactyla; Suidae
Description: lncRNA (ENSSSCG00045004913.1)
Source: RNAcentral